CCUACGGGUGGCAGCAGUGAGGAAUAUUGGUCAAUGGCCGCAGGGCUGAACCAGCCAAGUCGCGUGAGGGAUGACGGUCCUAUGGAUUGUAAACCUCUUUUGUCAGGGCGCAAAGGGCUCACCGUGUGGCGUUUUGCGAGUACCUGAAGAAAAAGCAUCGCCUAACUCAGUGCCAGCAGCCGCGGUAAUACGGAGGAUGCGAGCGUUAUCCGGAUUUGGUGGGUUGAAAGGGAGCGUAGAUGGGUUGUUAAGUCAGUUGUGAAAGUUUGCGGUUCAACCUUAAAAUUGCAAUUGAUACUGGCAGCCUUGAGGACAGUUGAGGUAGGCGGAAUUCGUGGUGUAGCGGUGAAAUGCGUAGAUAUCACGAAGAACUCCGAUUGCGAAGGCAGCCUACUAAAAUGCCACUGACAUUGAUGCUCGAAAGUGUGGGUAUCAAACAGGAUUAGAUACCCUGGUAGUC
Molecule: ribosomal RNA, 460 nt
Filed under: uncultured bacterium
Lineage: Bacteria
Description: partial 16S ribosomal RNA
Rfam family: Bacterial small subunit ribosomal RNA
Source: RNAcentral